RNAcentral lists this non-coding RNA (21 nucleotides) under Arabidopsis thaliana (thale cress). Lineage: Eukaryota; Viridiplantae; Streptophyta; Magnoliopsida; Brassicales; Brassicaceae. The record is from RNAcentral.
UCCCCUUACAAUGUCGAGUAA